CAUUGCUAAGGCUUUACCCACAUUCGGAAAGGAAGUAUCUGCAAACAGGAUCUUUUACCAACCCCCACCUCUAUCGUUAUGAACUAACUUUGCCAGUGGAAAGGAGAGAGAAUGCAAAAGCAGAGAUUAGCCUGAUUAUAUAUAAGAGGGUAAGUAAGAAAGUGUGCAUUUUUUGUGUAUGCAUGUGUGAUUAUAUUCCUUGGAUGCUCCCUGAAGUUGCAAUUUUCUUUACAUAGAUUUAUUAAUAAGAGGCACAGGCUUUUCAGCAUGUCUUGAAAUUAAAUUAUGCUGUAGAGUUUCUUCAUGUCCUACUCCUGAUAUUUGGCAUUAAAACCUUUUGAAGAAGUUGGAUGUUGGCUACCAAGAGGUAAAAAUGUUUGACUGUGAAACACCUGUUAGUAUGAAAGAAGGUUCCUGAAUAGAUGCAUUUUAUUUUGCUCUACCUGCAGCUUGCUUGCAACAAAAGUUCCUCAGUGUUACA
RNAcentral lists this long non-coding RNA (481 nucleotides) under Gopherus agassizii (Agassiz's desert tortoise). Its description in RNAcentral is "lncRNA (ENSGAGG00000013043.1)". Lineage: Eukaryota; Metazoa; Chordata; Testudines; Testudinidae. The record is from RNAcentral.